AACUGGGCAUUAUUAUAUCGUUCGUGCUGAGAAAGAAAGGAAGACAGAGUGGGAGUGGCUCUCGUUCCCAGUACCCCUCUUUCCUCUCCGCCUCCGCCUCCGCCUCCGCCUCCGAUCUCUGGGGCUUCCCAGCAUUCGAUCUCGUCGAUCAUGUCCGCAGAGAAGGGUCAACCAUUGCCCAAGUUUGGAGAGUGGGAUGUCAACAAUCCUGCCUCGGCUGAAGGUUUCACUGUUAUAUUUAACAAAGUUCGAGAUGAGAAGAAGACAGGUGGUAACUCGGGCACUCCGACAACACCAACGAGAAAAGAUGUAGGUAGUCUGCCACCAGAUGACACCUACCAGCAUCCGAGAAAAACUCGGAAGUGGUUUUGCUGUGGUUGAAUGCUGCUACUGGAAUGAUUAGUACUUGGUAAUCAUAGUUUGGGUUGUGAGGAUAAAGAAAGUUUGGUUUAAUGAUCAGAUCCUGUCAUAUGAAUAUUAUGGUAUCCGAUGGAUGAUCCAUCUGUAUCAAUAUUAUUUCGACAAAAAAAAGACAAUACAUGGAUGGAUAAUUAUUUUUCUUUCA
Musa acuminata AAA Group (dessert banana) is the source of this 565-nucleotide RNA transcript. RefSeq lists it as uncharacterized. NCBI's taxonomy places the organism in Eukaryota, Viridiplantae, Streptophyta, Magnoliopsida, Zingiberales, Musaceae. The record is from RefSeq and is a predicted model, not a curated record. The transcript has 3 exons.